GUGAGGCGCACGUGGGGCGCCCGCCCCCCUUUCGCCCCUCCCACAGCAGCCCCCUCACCGCGGUUUCGCGCCUUCUCUCCCCCACCCCGGCUUUCCUGUCAGGAACGGGGCCGACACCUUCUCCCGGUCUUCUUGAGAAGGCAGACACAGGCUCAUGACGGACUGUGAGUCACAGGAACACGUCACCAGCAAAUAAACUCCAGUAACCUCUCGGUAGCUGCAUUUCACUGUGUGCACGGGAAAGUUUACCCCAAGUCAGGAGAACUAAGCCACUAAUUUCCUACUGCCAACAUAAACAUUCUGACUGCUGAUGGACAUGGAAGAGAAUUUGUGCUUACGGAAUGACUGGUCCAGGAUGAUUCCCAAUACAGUCGUUUGCAGCCUGGUGAAGUCCAGGGUGUUCCAGCGACACUGAGCAGCAAUGCCACGGGCCAUCUAGUGGACAUUACACACUGCCUUUGCAGACAUCCCAGGGGAGUUACAGCUGUCCUGAGAGCCACAACUUGUUCUGGUAUUGCAAUAAAACCAUAAAAACCCUGACAUGUUAUGGACAUGUAUCCCUUACUCUUGAGAAACCUCCAAAUGCCUCAAUCUGGCACUUAACGAAUACCUCAAAUAAUACCAUCCAUGUCCUAAAUACCAGCCAAAUGUUUAACAAAAAUCCGUUUCUCUGUGUAGCUUUGAUACACAGAAGGUAUAUGAGCUGGAAGAAUAGCAAAGAUUACUCCUAGAAUUAACUUUCAAGCCACCAACAGAGUACUGCUAGUUAAUUUUUCCUAGGUUACAAACAGAAGCUGCCCAGUUGACUCAAAACUGAGGAUCAGGAGUCUCCAGUUUGUCCACAGGCUUCUUCUGGCACAGAACCUGUACUUCAGGCAGAUGACAGCACCACGCUUGUGACAUGUAAGGCUGAGCACAUAAGACUGCUCAGCCAGCAAUUAUUUAAAUGAUUGUGUGAUUUUUGGAGCAUAGUGCGCCUGUGAAGCAAUGCAUUGUUAGUGCUUAGAAGCAGCUUUAAGAAACGGAUAUAUGGUGAAUAUUUAAAGUCAGUUCAGAAGCGUUUCUAGAAAUACCAUGUUUCUCAUCAGGCGCAUUACUGUAACCCCAAUGCUGCCUUUGUUCCUUGGUCCUUUUUAUCCCUUACUUAAACAGCUCCUGAGACAGCAGAUUGACUGGAAGCCCAAAAUCGCCAGGAGGACAGUAACUGUUACUGGUGCCUCAUUAAUGCACUGUGCCAGACCUCUUCAAAAGAAAUUACCUUCUGAGAAACAACCUAUUCCUGAUACUACAUGAGAUGGAUAACAUCACAGCUGAUAAUAAUAGGUAUAACUGAUACAGAUUUUUACCUCUUCAAAGCACUUUGUAAUCUUUGCAUGGUUAAUAACCAUGAUGCUCUGUAAAUACUUAUUAGCCUCUGUUUUAACAGUAAGAAACAAAG
Columba livia (rock pigeon) is the source of this 1438-nucleotide long non-coding RNA. RefSeq lists it as uncharacterized. Lineage: Eukaryota; Metazoa; Chordata; Aves; Columbiformes; Columbidae. The transcript is spliced from 4 exons. The record is from RefSeq and is a predicted model, not a curated record.